This 253-nucleotide ribosomal RNA is filed under the name uncultured bacterium. RNAcentral describes it as "partial 16S ribosomal RNA". It matches the Rfam family "Bacterial small subunit ribosomal RNA", at positions 524 to 776 of the family's 1533-position model. The record is from RNAcentral.
UACGUAGGGGGCAAGCGUUGUCCGGAUUUAUUGGGCGUAAAGAGCGUGUAGGCGGCUUUACAGGUCCGUUGUGAAAACUCGAGGCUCAACCUCGAGACGCCGGUGGAAACCGUAAAGCUAGAGUCCGGAAGAGGAGAGUGGAAUUCCUGGUGUAGCGGUGAAAUGCGCAGAUAUCAGGAAGAACACCUAUGGCGAAGGCAGCUCUCUGGGACGGUACUGACGCUGAGACGCGAAAGCGUGGGGAGCGAACGGG